RNAcentral lists this ribosomal RNA (511 nucleotides) under bacterium D03. RNAcentral's name for it is "bacterial SSU rRNA". It matches the Rfam family "Bacterial small subunit ribosomal RNA", at positions 52 to 544 of the family's 1533-position model. The record is from RNAcentral.
UACAUGCAAGUCGAGCGAACUGAUUAGAAGCUUGCUUCUAUGACGUUAGCGGCGGACGGGUGAGUAACACGUGGGCAACCUGCCUGUAAGACUGGGAUAACUUCGGGAAACCGAAGCUAAUACCGGAUAGGAUCUUCUCCUUCAUGGGAGAUGAUUGAAAGAUGGUUUCGGCUAUCACUUACAGAUGGGCCCGCGGUGCAUUAGCUAGUUGGUGAGGUAACGGCUCACCAAGGCAACGAUGCAUAGCCGACCUGAGAGGGUGAUCGGCCACACUGGGACUGAGACACGGCCCAGACUCCUACGGGAGGCAGCAGUAGGGAAUCUUCCGCAAUGGACGAAAGUCUGACGGAGCAACGCCGCGUGAGUGAUGAAGGCUUUCGGGUCGUAAAACUCUGUUGUUAGGGAAGAACAAGUACGAGAGUAACUGCUCGUACCUUGACGGUACCUAACCAGAAAGCCACGGCUACUACGUGCCAGCAAGCCGCGGUAAUACGUAGGUGGCAAGCGUUAU